AUGGAAAGGACUAGGCAAUAUAUUAUAUUCUCAACAUUCCGCCUCACCUCUAAGCUAUUUUAGUCCUUUGCGUGGGUUCCGUGUAGGCCGAAGAAUCUUUUUUUUAUUAGUGCAUGAGCAGGGUAUUGAACUUGAGACCUCUUGUCUCUGAUACCAUAUUCAAUUGAUGCGCUAGCCAUUUGAACCUAAAAUCCGAACUGAUGAAAAUGACUAGGCAAUAUAUUAUAUUCUCAACACCCCGCCUCACCUCUAAGCUAUUUUAGUCAUUUGCGUGGGUUCCGUGUAGGCCGAAGAAUCUUUUUUUUUAUUACUGCAUGAGCAGGGUAUUGAACUUGAGACCUCUUGACUCUGAUACCAUAUUGAAUCGAUGCGCUAGCCAUUUGAAACUAAAAUCCGAACUGAUGAAAAGGACUAGGCAAUAUAUUAUAUUCUCAACACUCCGCGUCACCUCUAAGCUAUUUUAGUCAUUUGCGUGGGUUCCGUGUAGGUCGAAGAACUUUUUUUUUAUUACUGCAUGAGCAGGGUAUUUAACUUGAGACCUUUUGGUUCUGAUACCAUAUUGAAUUGAUGCGCUAGGCAUUUGAACCAAAAGUCCGAACUGAUGGAUGGAAAUGAUUGGCCAAUAUAUUAUAAUCUCAACAGUUAAGUCUUCACUUUUUAUCCGGUUUUGAUCGAUCGUUAUCA
RNAcentral lists this long non-coding RNA (684 nucleotides) under Brachypodium distachyon (stiff brome). Its description in RNAcentral is "long non-coding RNA (BDIS_LNC000328)". Lineage: Eukaryota; Viridiplantae; Streptophyta; Magnoliopsida; Poales; Poaceae. The record is from RNAcentral.